GCAUUGAAUCUCUUCCUUCCAUGUAGUACGCAACUAGUCAGAAACAACGGUCGCUUUAAAAGGGCUCUGAAGACCAAUCAAUGGGGCCAGAUCCACUUGCCUUGCUGCCGUAUGCCUGACAACUUUGGGAAUACUGGAUGAGUAUGAUUCUCCCAGAUCAAAUUUGGGAUUAAGGCCUGGAGCAAAGGGAUUGAGAGACGCCACUGAAAUUUCCAGUACAAGACUAGUCUGCAACAUUUUGGUCCCUGCCCAGUUUUUGUACCUUUGGCCUGGAACGCCCUCCCUCCGAAAAUCUGCUGGACAAUUACUCUCCGAGCCGCAUCAAAGCCUCCACUUUUUGA
Long non-coding RNA from Ornithorhynchus anatinus (platypus), 341 nucleotides. RefSeq lists it as uncharacterized. The record is from RefSeq and is a predicted model, not a curated record. NCBI's taxonomy places the organism in Eukaryota, Metazoa, Chordata, Mammalia, Monotremata, Ornithorhynchidae. The transcript is spliced from 2 exons.